This 440-nucleotide ribosomal RNA is filed under the name uncultured bacterium. RNAcentral describes it as "partial 16S ribosomal RNA". It matches the Rfam family "Bacterial small subunit ribosomal RNA", at positions 338 to 795 of the family's 1533-position model. The record is from RNAcentral.
CCUACGGGUGGCAGCAGUAGGGAAUAUUGCUCAAUGGAGGAAACUCUGAAGCAGCAACGCCGCGUGGAGGAUGAAGGUUUUCGGAUUGUAAACUUCUUUUGUUAGAGAAGAUAAUGACGGUAUCUAACGAAUAAUCACCGGCUCAUUCCGUGUCAGCAGCCGCGGUAAUACGGCGGGUGCAAGCGUUACUCGGAAUCACUGGGCGUAAUGAGCGCGUAGGCGGGAUAGCAAGUCAGAUGUGAAAUCCUAUGGCUUAACCAUAGAACUGCAUUUUAAACUGUUAUUCUAGAGUAUAGGAGAGGUAGGUGGAAUUCGUGGUGUAGGGGUAAAAUGCGUAGAGAUCAAGAGGAAUACUCAUUGCGAAGGCGACCUGCUAGAACAUAACUGACGCUGAUGCGCGAAAGCGUGGGGAGCAAACAGGAUUAGAUACCCCUGUAGUC